GAUUAACGCUGGCGGCGUGCAUAACACAUGCAAGUCGAACGAUGAAACUUAAAUGAAUUCUUCGGAAUGAUUUUAAUUGGAUUAGUGGCGAACGGGUGAGUAACGCGUGAGUAACCUGCCUUACACAAGGGGAUAGCCUCUGGAAACGGAGAAUAAUACCCUAUGAAACUAUCUUAUCGCAUGAAAAGAUAGUCAAAGUGUUUUAGCGGUGUAAGAUGGACUUGCGUCUGAUUAGCUAGUUGGUGAGAUAACAGCCCACCAAGGCAACGAUCAGUAGCCGGCUUGAGAGAGUGUACGGCCACAUUGGGACUGAGACACGGCCCAGACUCCUACGGGAGGCAGCAGUGGGGAAUUUUGCACAAUGGGGGCAACCCUGAUGCAGCGACGCCGCGUGAUUUAGAAGGCCUUCGGGUUGUAAAAAUCUUUUGUAUAGGAAGAAAAUGACAGUACUAUACGAAUAAGGUCCGGCUAAUUACGUG
Molecule: ribosomal RNA, 479 nt
Filed under: uncultured bacterium
Lineage: Bacteria
Description: partial 16S ribosomal RNA
Rfam family: Bacterial small subunit ribosomal RNA
Source: RNAcentral